UACGGAGGAUCCACGCGUUUUCCGGAUUUAUUGGGUUUAAAGGGUGCGUAGGCGGAUGAUUAAGUCAGUGGUGAAAGCCGGCAGCUCAACUGUCGAACUGCCAUUGAAACUGAUCGUCUUGAAUCUAGUAGAGGUAGGCGGAAUGUAUCAUGUAGCGGUGAAAUGCUUAGAUAUGAUGCAGAACACCAAUUGCGAAAGCAGCUUACUAGGCUAGUAUUGACGCUGAGGCACGAAAGCGUGGGGAUCAAACAGG
Molecule: ribosomal RNA, 253 nt
Filed under: uncultured bacterium
Lineage: Bacteria
Description: partial 16S ribosomal RNA
Rfam family: Bacterial small subunit ribosomal RNA
Source: RNAcentral